AUGGUAGUAAUAAUGGUAGUAAUAGUGUUAGUCCAAAUAACAACAAAAGUAAUACUACACCUACUACUACCACCACCACUACUACUACCACCACCAAUAAUAAUAAUAAUAAUAUUGGUAAUAAUAUUAAUAUUGGUAAUAAUAUUAAUAUUGGUANNNNNNNNNNAUAUUGGUAAUAAUAUUAAUAUUGGUAAUAAUAUUAAUAUUGGUAAUGGUAAUGGUAAUGGUUUUGGUAAUGGUUUUGGUAAUGGUUUUGGUAAUGGUUUUGGUAAUGGUUUUGGUAAUAGUUUUGGUAAUAGUUUUGGUAAUGGUUUUGGUGAAAAUAAGAAUGAACAUGAACGUUCAGGUAAAAAGGAUCAAACUGGUAAUGGAAGUAGUAAUAGUAUUAGUAUUGAUAAAAAGAAGAAACAUGUAGUUGAAUGUGGUGAUAUUUGUACAUUUGAACACAGUAAUAACAAAAAACACAGUGAUAGUGAUGAUAAUAAUGAAAAUAAUGAAAAUAAUGGAAAUAAUGAAAAUGGUGGUAAUAAUAACAGUAAUAGUAAUAACAGUAAUAGUAAUAAUGGUGAAUGCAAUAAUGGAAGUAGUGGUAAUAAUAGUAGUGGUAAUAAUGGAUGUAAUAACUGUACAAAUAGCAACAGUAAUAAUAAUAAUAAUAAUAAUAAUAAUAAUAGUAGUAGUGGUAGCAUUAGAAAUAAUAUACAUAUGGACGACCUCUUUAAGCAAAGUGAAAAUAGUCCCAUACAAAAAUAUAAUAAAAUGGAAAAUAAUAUUAUUACUGGUCAUACAAAUGAAUGUAAUAAAGAAGAAAAACCAAAUAAAAUAAAAAAUGAUGUAAACUACAUGAAAAAUUUAGAAAAAAAAAUGGUUAAUUAUAUAUCAAAUAAUAACAUACAUAAAACAUUUUUGGGUAUAACUAAUAUAAAAGAACAUAGUUGCAAUAGUAAUGUUACUACGAUUAAUAAUAACAGUGACAGUAAUUAUAGUAGUAACAAUAAUAAUAUUAGUGAUAAUAGGAACAAUUUGUAUGGUAACUGUUUGAUUAAUUCGAAAGAUGGUAAUGUCAUUUCGAGUAAUAAAAUCACAACGAAUGUUAUUAAUGAACAAAGUUCUGCAAAUAUAAAAAAAACAAUUAUAACAACUGUACCUAAUAGUAGUAGUAACAGUAACAGUAACAGUAACAGUAAUAGUAAUAAUAUGAUAAACAUAAAGAAAAAUAGUGACAAUAUUAAUUUUGAAAAUAAUAUCAUUGAACUGAACCUUAUGAACUCCAAUGAAUUAAAUAAAUUAAAACGAAUAAAAAAUAAAAAUUGUAUAUCAGAUCAACAAAAGUUACAAACAGAAGAAAAUAAAAAUCUAUUCAAUAUUGUAUCACCUAUAAGCGUAAAUAAAGUUACAAAUUGUACAAAAGAACAUAAUACAAGUUAUUAUACUUGUUUAGGUUUGAGUAAAGAGGAUAUUUUGAAACAAAAUGAACUGGAAAAGAAUAGAAAUAAAAAAUUAAGUCAAAGUUUAAAUAAUGUUGAUGAGAAAAGAUAUAUAAAGGAAUCUGACAAUUCGUUUAACUCUUAUAUUAAUUAUAAUAAUGAUGGAGAAGGCAAUCGUAAAAGUAGUAACAGUAGUAGUAACAAUAGUAGUAGUAGUAGUAGUAAUAAUGAUAGGGACGAUAAAAAAAGAAAAUACAAUGUGUUGAACAACAAUGAGUUAAACAUUAAUGAAGAAAUAAGUUUUAACAGGAAAGGAAAAAAUAUUUCAAAACAAAAUAAUACAAUAACAAAAAGAAUAAUAAGUGGUGGUAGUGAUGCUACAAAUUUUAGUAACAACAUUAUAAGAUGUAAUAGUGGCAGUAAUAAUACAAGUAAAUAUAACUUAAAUGAAAAAAAUGAAAAAAAACACAUGAUGGGACACGAUGGAGAUAAUAUGUGUAAUUUAUAUGGAGUAUAUAACAAUGCAACUAGUGGUAAGGUAGAUGUUACAAGUUUUGAAAAUAAAUGUGAUGUGGAUGGUUAUAAUAAUAAUAAUAAUAAUAGGAAUGUUUGUAGCAUUAGUAGUAGUAAUAGUAUUAACAUUGGUGGCAGUUCCCAAACCGUAAGUAAUAACCAAACUGCAAGUAAUAAAAAAAAUGUAAAUAAUAACGAAAUCGUAAAUAAUAGUAUUAAUACGGGUGAUAGUAUGAUAAGAAGUAAUAGCAAUGUAACUGAAGGUUGUUACAUGAAUAUAAAGACUGGUAAUCAAACACCAUAUAAAAGUGAUAGAAUGGAUGGAAAUGUACAAAGGAAUAAUGUUAAUGAUAUGACAGAUCAACAUCUUGUUACAAAUAAUUUUUUAUUUAAUCCGUUUAAUAAUAAUAAUAAUAAUAAUAAAAUAGAUGUAAAAAUAAAUACAAAUUCGAGUGGUAUAAAUGACAAUAACAUGAAAAAUGUCAAUUAUUUUUUUAAUAGUAUAAAUAAUAAUAGUAUAAAUAAUAAUAGUAUAAAUAAUAAUAGUAGUAAUAGUAGCAGUAGUAGUAAUGUUUGUAAUGGUGGUAGUAGGUAUAAUAAUAGCGGUAUUAUGGAUGCAACUUAUAUUAAGAAUAAUAACACAACCAGAGCAUCUUCCAACGAGUGCAACAUUAAUAACAGUUGUAGUAACAACUGUAGUCACAACAUUAGUAACUGUAUUGGAAAAGAUAAAAACGGAAAUAAUAUUGACAUAUAUAAAGAGAACUCCGAAUUAAAAAUAAAAUAUAAUAAUUAUGACCAAUACAUAAAUAAUGAAAAUAAUAAAAAAUAUAGUAGUAACAAUAAUGGUAGUUAUAAUGAAAAUGCUUCAAGUAAUGACAACAAUUAUAACAGUAGAGGUAACAUACAUAGAGUAAGUAAUAGUGAAGGAAGUAGUAACUACAUUGAAGGUAGUGAUGUUGUUGAUAACAUUACUUUUAAUUUCUCAAAUAGAGAACCUAUGAACAGUGUUAAUAAUAAAUUAAUAAAAAUGUCAGAUGUAAAAAUAAAACAUCACAUAAAUGAUACAAAUAUUGGUCCUACUUCUAUAUUAAAUGAAAAUAAUAUGAACAAAAAUGAUAAUAAUAACAUAAAUAAAAAAAAUUUAAGUGAAGAUUAUAAUGUAAUAAAUGAAAGAGGAAAGUAUGGAAACUUUAUAAAUAAUGUAAAACAUAGUUUGAAUAUAUGUGUACAAAAUCAAUUUAAUGUAAAUAUAUCGGAAAAAAAAACAUCUUUACAAUAUGUUAAUGAAAGUAUUAACAAUGUAACAAAUAGUAAUACUCCAACAAACAGUUUGACAAAUACUCCAACAAACAGUUUGACAAACAAUUUUACAAACAGUUUAACAAACAAUUUUACAAACAGUUU
Molecule: long non-coding RNA, 3347 nt
Organism: Piliocolobus tephrosceles (Ugandan red Colobus)
Lineage: Eukaryota; Metazoa; Chordata; Mammalia; Primates; Cercopithecidae
Source: Ensembl